GACGAACGCUGGCGGCGUGCCUAAUACAUGCAAGUUGAGCGCUGAAGGUUGGUACUUGUACCAACUGGAUGAGCAGCGAACGGGUGAGUAACGCGUGGGGAAUCUGCCUUUGAGCGGGGGACAACAUUUGGAAACGAAUGCUAAUACCGCAUAAAAACUUUAAACACAAGUUUUAAGUUUGAAAGAUGCAAUUGCAUCACUCAAAGAUGAUCCCGCGUUGUAUUAGCUAGUUGGUGAGGUAAAGGCUCACCAAGGCGAUGAUACAUAGCCGACCUGAGAGGGUGAUCGGCCACCUUGGGACUGAGACACGGCCCAAACUCCUACGGGAGGCAGCAGUAGGGAAUCUUCGGCAAGGGACGAAAGUCUGACCGAGCAACGCCGCGGGAGUGAAGAAGGUUUUCGGAUCGGAAAACUCUGUUGGUAGAGAAGAACGUUGGUGAGAGUGGAAAGCUCAUCAAGUGACGGUAACUACCCAGAAAGGGACGGCUAACUACGUG
This 497-nucleotide ribosomal RNA is filed under the name uncultured bacterium. RNAcentral's name for it is "partial 16S ribosomal RNA". It matches the Rfam family "Bacterial small subunit ribosomal RNA", at positions 28 to 507 of the family's 1533-position model. The record is from RNAcentral.